GAUGAACGCUGGCGGCGUGCUUAACACAUGCAAGUCGAACGAGAAGUGAAGACGGAAACCUUCGGGCGGAAGGCUUUAUUUCGAGUGGCGGACGGGUGAGUAACGCGUGGGUAACCUGCCUCAUACAGGGGGAUAACAGUUGGAAACGACUGUUAAUACCGCAUAAGACCACAGCACCGCAUGGUGCGGGGGUAAAAACUCCGGUGGUAUGAGAUGGACCCGCGUUCGAUUAGCCAGUUGGCGGGGUAACGGCCCACCAAAGCGACGAUCGAUAGCCGAGCUGAGAGGAUGACCGGCCACAUUGGGACUGAGACACGGCCCAAACUCCUACGGGAGGCAGCAGUGGGGAAUAUUGCACGAUGGGGGAAACCCUGAUGCAGCGACGCCGCGUGAGUGAAGAAGUAUUUCGGUAUGUAAAGCUCUAUCAGCAGGGAAGAAAAUGACGGUACCUGAGUAAGAAGCCCCGGCUAACUACGUG
RNAcentral lists this ribosomal RNA (478 nucleotides) under uncultured bacterium. RNAcentral's name for it is "partial 16S ribosomal RNA". It matches the Rfam family "Bacterial small subunit ribosomal RNA", at positions 28 to 507 of the family's 1533-position model. The record is from RNAcentral.